This is a long non-coding RNA of Pseudophryne corroboree (corroboree frog), 216 nucleotides long. RefSeq lists it as uncharacterized. NCBI's taxonomy places the organism in Eukaryota, Metazoa, Chordata, Amphibia, Anura, Myobatrachidae. The transcript is spliced from 3 exons. The record is from RefSeq and is a predicted model, not a curated record.
CUUUCUAAGUGACCCUUCAGUACCUUGGUUUCCAAAUUUUUGUACAAGUUAUCUCACCACUAGGCCACACUGAUUGUUCAUCAGAAAGCCUCGGUGUUAUAUUGAAGUUUCCAUCAUGCAUGUAUGAACAAGUUUUGUCGCAUUAUACUGUUUGUAUAAACUACUGUACUUCUCAGCUGCUUGAGAGAUACCCCUGAUGAAGUCUUUUGUAUAAGA